CAAGUCGAACGAAGUAGCAAUACUUAGUGGCGAACGGGUGAGUAUAAUGUGGGUAUCUGCCCUUUGGUUUGGAAUAACACGAGGAAACUUGUGCUAAUACCGAAUAAGCCUUCACAGGGAAAGCUUUAGCGCCAAAGGAUGAGUCCGCACUUGAUUAGCUAGUUGGUAAGGUAAUGGCUUACCAAGGCUACGAUCAAUAGCUGUUCUUAGAGGAAGAUCAGCCACAUUGGGACUGAGACACGGCCCAAACUCCUACGGGAGGCAGCAGUGGGGAGUCUUGCACAAUGGGGGAAACCCUGAUGCAGCGAUGCCGCGUGAGUGAAGAAGGCCUUUGGGUUGUAAAGCUCUUUCGUCGGGGAAGAAAAUGACUGUACCCGAAUAAGAAGGUCCGGCUAACUUCGUGCCAGCAGCCGCGGUAAUACGAAGGGACCUAGCGUAGUUCGGAAUUACUGGGCUUAAAGAGCACGUAGGUGGUUGGAAAAGUUGGUGGUGAAAUCCCAAGGCUUAACCUUGGAACUGCCAUCAAAACUUUUUAACUAGAGUAUGAUUGAGGUAAGCGGAAUUUCUAGUGUAGAGGUGAAAUUCGUAGAUAUUAGAAAGAACACCAAUUGCGAAGGCAGCUUUCUGGAUCAUUACUGACACUGAGGUGCGAAAGCAUGGGUAGCGAAGAGGAUUAGAUACCCUCGUAGUCCAUGCCGUAAACGAUGUGUGCUAGACGUUGGAAAUUUAUUUUUCAGUGUCGCAGCAAAAGCGUUAAGCACACCGCCUGGGGAGUACGACCGCAAGGUUAAAACUCAAAUGAAUUGA
Molecule: ribosomal RNA, 807 nt
Filed under: uncultured bacterium
Lineage: Bacteria
Description: bacterial SSU rRNA
Rfam family: Bacterial small subunit ribosomal RNA
Source: RNAcentral